This 1399-nucleotide ribosomal RNA is filed under the name Escherichia coli. RNAcentral's name for it is "partial 23S ribosomal RNA". It matches the Rfam family "Bacterial large subunit ribosomal RNA", at positions 1541 to 2916 of the family's 2925-position model. Lineage: Bacteria; Pseudomonadati; Pseudomonadota; Gammaproteobacteria; Enterobacterales; Enterobacteriaceae. The record is from RNAcentral.
UCCGGAAAAUCAAGGCUGAGGCGUGAUGACGAGGCACUACGGUGCUGAAGCAACAAAUGCCCUGCUUCCAGGAAAAGCCUCUAAGCAUCAGGUAACAUCAAAUCGUACCCCAAACCGACACAGGUGGUCAGGUAGAGAAUACCAAGGCGCUUGAGAGAACUCGGGUGAAGGAACUAGGCAAAAUGGUGCCGUAACUUCGGGAGAAGGCACGCUGAUAUGUAGGUGAAGUCCCUCGCGGAUGGAGCUGAAAUCAGUCGAAGAUACCAGCUGGCUGCAACUGUUUAUUAAAAACACAGCACUGUGCAAACACGAAAGUGGACGUAUACGGUGUGACGCCUGCCCGGUGCCGGAAGGUUAAUUGAUGGGGUUAGCGCAAGCGAAGCUCUUGAUCGAAGCCCCGGUAAACGGCGGCCGUAACUAUAACGGUCCUAAGGUAGCGAAAUUCCUUGUCGGGUAAGUUCCGACCUGCACGAAUGGCGUAAUGAUGGCCAGGCUGUCUCCACCCGAGACUCAGUGAAAUUGAACUCGCUGUGAAGAUGCAGUGUACCCGCGGCAAGACGGAAAGACCCCGUGAACCUUUACUAUAGCUUGACACUGAACAUUGAGCCUUGAUGUGUAGGAUAGGUGGGAGGCUUUGAAGUGUGGACGCCAGUCUGCAUGGAGCCGACCUUGAAAUACCACCCUUUAAUGUUUGAUGUUCUAACGUUGACCCGUGAUCCGGGUUGCGGACAGUGUCUGGUGGGUAGUUUGACUGGGGCGGUCUCCUCCUAAAGAGUAACGGAGGAGCACGAAGGUUGGCUAAUCCUGGUCGGACAUCAGGAGGUUAGUGCAAUGGCAUAAGCCAGCUUGACUGCGAGCGUGACGGCGCGAGCAGGUGCGAAAGCAGGUCAUAGUGAUCCGGUGGUUCUGAAUGGAAGGGCCAUCGCUCAACGGAUAAAAGGUACUCCGGGGAUAACAGGCUGAUACCGCCCAAGAGUUCAUAUCGACGGCGGUGUUUGGCACCUCGAUGUCGGCUCAUCACAUCCUGGGGCUGAAGUAGGUCCCAAGGGUAUGGCUGUUCGCCAUUUAAAGUGGUACGCGAGCUGGGUUUAGAACGUCGUGAGACAGUUCGGUCCCUAUCUGCCGUGGGCGCUGGAGAACUGAGGGGGGCUGCUCCUAGUACGAGAGGACCGGAGUGGACGCAUCACUGGUGUUCGGGUUGUCAUGCCAAUGGCACUGCCCGGUAGCUAAAUGCGGAAGAGAUAAGUGCUGAAAGCAUCUAAGCACGAAACUUGCCCCGAGAUGAGUUCUCCCUGACUCCUUGAGAGUCCUGAAGGAACGUUGAAGACGACGACGUUGAUAGGCCGGGUGUGUAAGCGCAGCGAUGCGUUGAGCUAACCGGUACUAAUGAACCGUGAGG